AAACGACUCUCGGCAACGGAUAUCUCGGCCUCGCAUCGAUGAAGAACGUAGCGAAAUGCGAUACUUGGUGUGAAUUGCAGAAUCCCGUGAACCAUCGAGUCUUUGAACGCAAGUUGCGCCCGAAUCCAUUAGGCCGAGGGCACGUCUGCCUGGGCGUCACG
Molecule: ribosomal RNA, 161 nt
Filed under: Osmoxylon novoguineense
Lineage: Eukaryota; Viridiplantae; Streptophyta; Magnoliopsida; Apiales; Araliaceae
Description: 5.8S ribosomal RNA
Rfam family: 5.8S ribosomal RNA
About the family: 5.8S ribosomal RNA (5.8S rRNA) is a component of the large subunit of the eukaryotic ribosome.
Source: RNAcentral